AGCAUUCUCAGCCCUGCUACCGUAAGUAUUGGAUGCAACACAAAAAAAUCCAGAGACAGAUGAUUUGACCACAGAAAUGUGAACGGCGGCUCAUUUGACUGCAGUCAAUGUGAAGAUAGCAUCUUUUCUUCUCCAGAACCUGAACUAGAGACGCUAGCCGGACCAGAUGAGGGUUUAGUGCAGAAAGAAGAUCAUUCAGGAAAAACAGUUUGAUUGACAGCAAUUUAAAAGGAGAAAUACUCAAAAACAAAAUUUUUGGCUGUUGCGGAUCAAGACGAGGACCAGUGCGUUCGGAGGAUUUAAAAAGAAAAGAAUCAUUUUAUUAGUUUACAGGAUCUUUUUUUUAAUCACAUCCGUUCUGGUCCAAAUGAAGAAUAAACUGUAUGUUUUAAUGCAUACGGCCCAUAUUCAAAAGGAUAUGGGUCAGACCGGAUCUUUUUAUAAACCGUUCUGCUUAUAUUUGUGGGUCACUCUGCUUUUUUUACAUUCAGAGUUCUGGAAAUAAAUCAGAAAUGGCCUUGAUCUGCCACACAGUGAGGGUCAUUUGUUAAAAAUGAAAAGGAACUAAAAAGUGCAC
RNAcentral lists this long non-coding RNA (577 nucleotides) under Oryzias javanicus (javanese ricefish). RNAcentral describes it as "lncRNA (ENSOJAG00000007168.1)". Lineage: Eukaryota; Metazoa; Chordata; Actinopteri; Beloniformes; Adrianichthyidae. The record is from RNAcentral.